This 465-nucleotide ribosomal RNA is filed under the name uncultured bacterium. Its description in RNAcentral is "bacterial SSU rRNA". It matches the Rfam family "Bacterial small subunit ribosomal RNA", at positions 338 to 795 of the family's 1533-position model. The record is from RNAcentral.
CCUACGGGUGGCAGCAGUGGGGAAUAUUGGACAAUGGGGGCAACCCUGAUCCAGCGACGCCGCGUGGGUGAAGAAGGCCUGCGGGUUGUAAAGCCCUUUCGUUGGGAAAGAAAAGUGUCGACCUAACACGUCGGCACCGUGACGUAUACCAAAGAAGAAGCACCGGCUAACUCUGUGCCAGCAGCCGCGGUAAUACAGAGGGUGCGAGCGUUAAUCGGAAUUACUGGGCGUAAAGCGCACGUAGAUGGCUUCGUAAGUCGGAUGUGAAAUCCCCGGGCUUAACCUGGGAACUGCAUUCGAUACUGCGUUGCUUGAAUGUGGAAGAGGGAAGCGGAAUUCCAGGUGUAGCGGUGAAAUGCGUAGAUAUCUGGAGGAACAUCAGUGGCGAAGGCGGCUUCCUGGUCCAACAUUGACAUUCAGGUGCGAAAGCGUGGGGAGCAAACAGGAUUAGAUACCCUAGUAGUC